GGGGAGGUGGCAGAGUGGCCUAUUGCGCUCGUCUGGAAAGCGAGAGGGUUAAAAGCCCACGCGGGUUCGAAUCCCGCCCUCUCCG
This 85-nucleotide transfer RNA is filed under the name Phototrophicus methaneseepsis. It matches the Rfam family "tRNA". Rfam says of the family: Transfer RNA (tRNA) molecules are approximately 80 nucleotides in length. Their secondary structure includes four short double-helical elements and three loops (D, anti-codon, and T loops). Lineage: Bacteria; Bacillati; Chloroflexota; Candidatus Thermofontia; Phototrophicales; Phototrophicaceae. The record is from Rfam by way of RNAcentral.